AAAUAAUUAAGUAGUAAAUACGGGGUCUUUUUGUAAACACUACCAAAUCAUGUGCUCAAAUUAUCAACAUAUUUUUUGAUAUUUGCUGUACAAUAUAUUAAUCUUUAUAGAUAAUUCUAAUAUUACUGUUCGGUUGUAUUUGUCAAACGUUUAGAGCCAUUAACGAUCACGCGAAAAAGUUAAAAUUGUAAUGAUUGCCAGUUAUUAAAUUCUUGCUGUUAUUAUCUAUAACUAUGUGGGAAAUCCAGCGCUGUAAUAUUUUCUUAAUGUCAUCAGUUUUAAUCAUUUACUUUCGUUCGCCAUCAUCUGUCAUAGUUUAGGUACAUCAUCGCGCGCUGUGCUCAUACAAAAAUUCUGGUAGACCGAAUCCAAUUCUGGUAAUCGUAACAUUUUUUUUUUCUUCAUAUACAUGUAUACAUCAACGAG
Molecule: non-coding RNA, 426 nt
Organism: Cinara cedri
Lineage: Eukaryota; Metazoa; Arthropoda; Insecta; Hemiptera; Aphididae
Source: the annotation of a GenBank genome assembly